GACGAACGCUGGCGGCGUGCUUAACACAUGCAAGUCGUACGGUAAGGCCCUUUCGGGGGUACACGAGUGGCGAACGGGUGAGUAACACGUGAGUAACCUGCCCACAACUUUGGGAUAACGCUAGGAAACUGGUGCUAAUACUGGAUAUGUGCUCCUGCUGCAUGGUGGGGGUUGGAAAGCUCCGGCGGUUGUGGAUGGACUCGCGGCCUAUCAGCUUGUUGGUGGGGUAGUGGCCUACCAAGGCGGCGACGGGUAGCCGGCCUGAGAGGGUGACCGGUCACAUUGGGACUGAGAUACGGCCCAGACUCCUACGGGAGGCAGCAGUGGGGAAGAUUGCACAAUGGGCGCAAGCCUGAUGCAGCAACGCCGCGUGCGGGAUGACGGCCUUCGGGUUGUAAACCGCUUUCAGCAGGGACGAAGCUUUUUGUGACGGUACCUGCAGAAGAAGCACCGGCUAACUACGUG
RNAcentral lists this ribosomal RNA (465 nucleotides) under uncultured bacterium. Its description in RNAcentral is "partial 16S ribosomal RNA". It matches the Rfam family "Bacterial small subunit ribosomal RNA", at positions 28 to 507 of the family's 1533-position model. The record is from RNAcentral.